Molecule: long non-coding RNA, 576 nt
Organism: Pipra filicauda (Wire-tailed manakin)
Lineage: Eukaryota; Metazoa; Chordata; Aves; Passeriformes; Pipridae
Exons: 2
Source: RefSeq, a predicted model, not a curated record
AGAAGGUGUCCAGGGACAUCCUGGAGACAAUCCAAGACAAAACCUGGAAACAACUUCAGGGGCCUGGGCAAUGAGGCCCCUUCCUACGCAGCCCAGCAGAGCUGCCCACCCACACCAGCCUGCCUUGCCCUAGAGCUGACCCUCAGCACAGCUGAGCCUGGGCAACAUCCCCUCCUCAUGGGUAGUUUCCUAGGCCCUGUAUUGUUUCAGAGAAACACAUAUUUGGCAGCUCAUGUUUUCCGACACAUCAGCCAGCAAGGAUGGAAAUAGCAUUUUUUUCCAAAGAGUCUUUCUCCACUAUGUCAUGAGCCACACUCCUUCUACAGGUAGCUUGAAAUGCAGAGAUCCAAGAGAAAGGAGCAUCGCUCACUGCUCCCACUUUCCUAACAAGACCUCAUUACGGUGCAGGGAAAACUUGACCCCGUCAGAAGUGUCAAGCUGAGGCACCGUGUUUAUUUCUCACACCGUCCCCUUCACCCGUAACUUGGCGGGUGCUGCGGGGAGGUUAUUCUUUCUUCCUUUGAUUGUCACGGGGAGUAAGCUUUUCUUUUUUUAACAAAGCUAUUUUAAAACAGA